Molecule: transfer RNA, 78 nt
Filed under: Betaproteobacteria bacterium
Lineage: Bacteria; Pseudomonadati; Pseudomonadota; Betaproteobacteria
Description: tRNA-Arg
Rfam family: tRNA
About the family: Transfer RNA (tRNA) molecules are approximately 80 nucleotides in length. Their secondary structure includes four short double-helical elements and three loops (D, anti-codon, and T loops). Further hydrogen bonds mediate the characteristic L-shaped molecular structure. tRNAs have two regions of fundamental functional importance: the anti-codon, which is responsible for specific mRNA codon recognition, and the 3' end, to which the tRNAs corresponding amino acid is attached (by aminoacyl-tRNA synthetases). tRNAs cope with the degeneracy of the genetic code in two manners: having more than one tRNA (with a specific anti-codon) for a particular amino acid; and 'wobble' base-pairing, i.e. permitting non-standard base-pairing at the 3rd anti-codon position.
Source: RNAcentral
GCGCCCGUAGCUCAGUCUGGAUAGAGUACUUGGCUACGAACCAAGGGGUCGUGGGUUCAAAUCCUGCCGGGCGCGCCA